Molecule: ribosomal RNA, 537 nt
Filed under: uncultured Acidobacteriota bacterium
Lineage: Bacteria; Pseudomonadati; Acidobacteriota
Description: bacterial SSU rRNA
Rfam family: Bacterial small subunit ribosomal RNA
Source: RNAcentral
UUGAUCCUGGCUCAGAAUCAACGCUGGCGGCGUGCCUAACACAUGCAAGUCGAACGCGAAAGUCCCGCAAGGGAUUAGUAGAGUGGCAAACGGGUGAGUUACACGUGGGUGACCUGCCUUCGAGUGGGGGAUAACGUCCCGAAAGGGACUCUAAUACCGCAUAACAUCCUGCUUUUUAAGAGGUGGAGAUCAAAGCCGGUGAUCGCAAGACCUGGCGCUUGAAGAGGGGCCCGCGUCCGAUUAGCUAGUUGGUGGGGUAAUGGCUCACCAAGGCUCCGAUCGGUAUCCGGCCUGAGAGGUCGGACGGACACACUGGGACUGAGACACGGCCCAGACUCCUACGGGAGGCUGCAGUGGGGAAUUGUUCGCAAUGGGCGCAAGCCUGACGACGCAACGCCGUGUGGAGGAUGAAGACCUUCGGGUCGUAAACUCCUUUCGAUCGAGACGAAUGGCCUCUGGGUUAAUAGCCUGGAGGAGUGACGGUACCGAGAGAAGAAGCUCCGGCUAACUCCGUGCCAGCAGCCGCGGUAAUAAGGU